CUCGCUCCGGCUCCCCUCGCCGUCCUGGACACGGCGGAGUGCGGAGCCGCCCGUAAGAUGCUCUGACCUUUGACCCCUGCCGUUCAGCUCUAGGGCCCGUGCAGGCCACACCAUGAACACCUCCCCAGGCACGGUGGGCAGUGACCCGGUCAUCCUGGCCACUGCAGGCUACGACCACACCGUGCGCUUCUGGCAGGCCCACAGCGGCAUCUGCACCCGGACGGUGCAGCACCAGGACUCCCAGGUGAAUGCCUUGGAGAUCACACCGGACCGCAGCAUGAUUGCUGCUGCAGCUACGACGGCGUCAACAAGAACAUCGCGUCUGUGGGCUUCCACGAAGACGGCCGCUGGAUGUACACGGGCGGCGAGGACUGCACAGCCAGGAUCUGGGACCUCAGGUCCCGGAACCUGCAGUGCCAGCGGAUCUUCCAGGUGAACGCACCCAUUAACUGCGUGUGCCUGCACCCCAACCAGAGCUCAUCGUGGGUGACCAGAGCGGGGCUAUCCACAUCUGGGACUUGAAAACAGACCACAACGAGCAGCUGAUCCCUGAGCCCGAGGUCUCCAUCACGUCC
RNAcentral lists this small RNA (575 nucleotides) under Pan troglodytes (chimpanzee). RNAcentral describes it as "processed transcript". The record is from RNAcentral. Lineage: Eukaryota; Metazoa; Chordata; Mammalia; Primates; Hominidae.